ACCUGGCUGGCUCAGUUUGUAGAGCAUGUGACUCUUGAUCACAGGAUUGUGAUUUCGAGCCCCAUGUUUGGUG
Molecule: transfer RNA, 73 nt
Filed under: Ailuropoda melanoleuca (giant panda)
Lineage: Eukaryota; Metazoa; Chordata; Mammalia; Carnivora; Ursidae
Rfam family: tRNA
About the family: Transfer RNA (tRNA) molecules are approximately 80 nucleotides in length. Their secondary structure includes four short double-helical elements and three loops (D, anti-codon, and T loops).
Source: Rfam by way of RNAcentral